UGAUUUAAAAGAUGACGAAGAGGACACAUCUUCAGUCCCCAGCUGUCUGUCUCUGAAGAGUGACUGGCCUAUGGGUCAUCUUCCAACCUUCAGUAAUGAACCUGGACCCUCAGACACAAAACAGAGAGCAGAGUCUCCAGUCCCCAGCUGUCUGUCUCUGAAGAGUGACCAGUCUAUGUGGGACCCUAUAUCCUUCAGAAAUGAACCUGGACCCUCAGACACAAAAGGGAAGAGGAAGAGUGGUGUUCCUGUGGAGGAGCAGCU
This is a long non-coding RNA of Trematomus bernacchii (emerald rockcod), 264 nucleotides long. RefSeq lists it as uncharacterized. The transcript is spliced from 3 exons. The record is from RefSeq and is a predicted model, not a curated record. NCBI's taxonomy places the organism in Eukaryota, Metazoa, Chordata, Actinopteri, Perciformes, Nototheniidae.